GAGCAAGGAUGAAAAUCGGACUUAGUGAUCCGGUGGUUCUGCGUGGAAGGGCCAUCGCUCAACGGAUAAAAGCUACCCUGGGGAUAACAGGCUUAUCUCCCCAAGAGUCCACAUCGACGGGGAGGUUUGGCACCUCGAUGUCGGCUCAUCACAUCCUGGGGCUGUAGUAGGUCCCAAGGGGUUGGGCUGUUCGCCCAUUAAAGUGGUACGCGAGCUGGGUUCAGAACGUCGUGAGACAGUUCGGUCCCUAUCCGUCGCAGGCGUAGGAAAUUUGAGAGACCUGUCCUUAGUACGAGAGGACCGGGAUGGACGUACCUCUGGUGUACCAGUUGUUCUGCCAAGGGCAUGGCUGGGUAGCUAUGUACGGAAUGGAUAAGCGCUGAAAGCAUCUAAGCGCGAAGCCAACUUCAAGAUAAGAUUUCCCACCGCAAGGGUAAGACCCCAGAACUAUCUGGUUGAUAGGUCGAAGGUGUAAGUGCAGCAAUGUAUUUAGCUUAUCGAUACUAAUAGGUCGAGGACUUGACCAA
Molecule: ribosomal RNA, 527 nt
Filed under: Clostridioides difficile
Lineage: Bacteria; Bacillati; Bacillota; Clostridia; Peptostreptococcales; Peptostreptococcaceae
Description: partial 23S ribosomal RNA
Rfam family: Bacterial large subunit ribosomal RNA
Source: RNAcentral